AAACCGUGUGCCUACAACCGCUCAGAGCCCCUUAUGAGGGUGAUGAGGUGCUUUUUGUAGAACGAGCCAACGAGUUACGGUAUGUAGCAAGGUUAAGUACUUAAGGUACGGAGCCGAAGGGAAACCGAGUCUGAAUAGGGCGACUAGUUGCAUGCCGUAGACCCGAAACCGGGUGACCUAUCCAUGGCCAGGUUGAAGCGAGGGUAAAACCUCGUGGAGGACCGAACCACGUUGCUGUUGAAAAAGCAUGGGAUGAGCUGUGGAUAGCGGAGAAAUUCCAAUCGAACCCGGAGAUAGCUGGUUCUCUCCGAAAUAGCUUUAGGGCUAGCGUCGAGUAUGAGUAGUGGAGGUAGAGCACUGAAUGGGCUAGGGGGCAUAGCGCUUACCGAACCUUAUCAAACUCCGAAUGCCACAUACUUUGAGCUCGGCAGUCAGACUACGAAUGAUAAGAUCCGUGGUCAAAAGGGAAACAGCCCAGAUCGUCAGCUAAGGUCCCAAAGUGUAAGUUAAGUGGGAAAGGAUGUGAGAUUUCUAAGACAACUAGGAUGUUGGCUUAGAAGCAGCCAUUCAUUAAAAGAGUGCGUAAUAGCUCACUAGUCGAGAGAUCUUGCGCCGAAAAUGUAACGGGGCUAAACUUACCA
Molecule: ribosomal RNA, 641 nt
Filed under: Clostridium perfringens
Lineage: Bacteria; Bacillati; Bacillota; Clostridia; Eubacteriales; Clostridiaceae
Description: partial 23S ribosomal RNA
Rfam family: Bacterial large subunit ribosomal RNA
Source: RNAcentral